AGCAACAGGAAAUCCAACUUCAUGAACUUGUCUUUCACAAAUUGCUUCAAAUUAGAUCAAAAGGAACGCAGCGAAAUCAUCGAAAAUACUCACUCUACAGUUCAGUUUUUGACAAGCAAGUUUCGAGAGUAUAGAGAUCAAGUUAGAAUUCUUUUCCAAGGAAAUGAAAUCCCAGAAUGUUUCCAUGAACAAACAAUGGGAACUUCACUAAGCAUACAGUUGCCGCCAAAUUGGCAUCAGUUUCAG
This 246-nucleotide unclassified non-coding RNA is filed under the name Hevea brasiliensis (rubber tree). The record is from RNAcentral. Lineage: Eukaryota; Viridiplantae; Streptophyta; Magnoliopsida; Malpighiales; Euphorbiaceae.